AGAACGAACGCUGGCGGCAGGCUUAACACAUGCAAGUCGAACGCCCCGCAAGGGGAGUGGCAGACGGGUGAGUAACGCGUGGGAAUCUACCCAGUUCUACGGAAUAACACAGGGAAACUUGUGCUAAUACCGUAUACGCCCUACGGGGGAAAGAUUUAUCGGGAUUGGAUGAGCCCGCGUUGGAUUAGCUAGUUGGUGGGGUAAUGGCCUACCAAGGCGACGAUCCAUAGCUGGUCUGAGAGGAUGAUCAGCCACACUGGGACUGAGACACGGCCCAGACUCCUACGGGAGGCAGCAGUGGGGAAUAUUGGACAAUGGGCGAAAGCCUGAUCCAGCCAUGCCGCGUGAGUGAUGAAGGCCUUAGGGUUGUAAAGCUCUUUCAGUGGGGAAGAUAAUGACGGUACCACAGAAGAAGCCCCGGCUAACUUCGUGCCAGCAGCCGC
RNAcentral lists this ribosomal RNA (443 nucleotides) under uncultured bacterium. RNAcentral's name for it is "SSU rRNA". It matches the Rfam family "Bacterial small subunit ribosomal RNA", at positions 26 to 518 of the family's 1533-position model. The record is from RNAcentral.